AACGAACGCUGGCGGCAUGCCUAACACAUGCAAGUCGAACGAUGCCUUCGGGCCUAGUGGCGCACGGGUGCGUAACGCGUGGGAAUCUGCCUUUCGGUUCGGAAUAACUCAGGGAAACUUGAGCUAAUACCGGAUAACGUCGCAAGACCAAAGAUUUAUCACCGAAAGAUGAGCCCGCGUAGGAUUAGCUAGUUGGUGAGGUAAAGGCUCACCAAGGCGACGAUCCUUAGCUGGUCUGAGAGGAUGAUCAGCCACACUGGGACUGAGACACGGCCCAGACUCCUACGGGAGGCAGCAGUGGGGAAUAUUGGACAAUGGGCGAAAGACUGAUCCAGCAAUGCCGCGUGAGUGAUGAAGGCCUUAGGGUUGUAAAGCUCUUUUACCCGGGAAGAUAAUGACGGUACCGGGAGAAUAAGCCCCGGCUAACUCCGUG
Molecule: ribosomal RNA, 433 nt
Filed under: uncultured bacterium
Lineage: Bacteria
Description: partial 16S ribosomal RNA
Rfam family: Bacterial small subunit ribosomal RNA
Source: RNAcentral